GGGUUCAACCUGGGGAAGCGGGCAUCCCAAAAGCGGUGUGGCCUUAAAGUGCCGGAAGAGGGGUAGUUGAAAUUUCCCAGUGUUGCCGGUGAAACUGCGUAGACAUCUGGUAAGGAACCUCCACUGGCGAAGGUGGCCUUUCCUGGUUUGACACUGACACUGUGGGUGCGAAAGCGUGAGGGGGCAAAUCGGGGUUAGUAUCCCCUCGGUUAGUGCCCGUCCCUAAACAAAAGUCAACUAGUCGUAGGGAUCCUUGAGAUUUUAGUGGCGCAGCUAACGCAUUUAAGUUGACCCCCUGGGGAGUACGGCCGCAAGGUUGAAACUCAAAUUAAUUGACGGGGGCCCGCACAAGCGGUGGAGCAUGUGGUUUAAUUCGAAGCAACGCGAAGAACCUUACCUGGCCUUGACAUGCUGAGAACUUCCCAGAGAUAGAUUGGUGCCUUCGGGAGCUCAGAGACAGGUGCUGCAUGGCUGUGGUCAGCUCGUGUCGUGAGAUGUUGGGUUAAGUCCCGUACCGAGCGCAAUCCUUGUCCUUAGUUACCAGCUCGUUAUGGUGGGCACUCUAAGGAGACUGCCGGUGACAAACCGGAGGAAGGUGGGGAUGACGUCAAGUCAUCAUGGCCCUUACGGCCAGGGCUACACACGUGCUACAAUGGUCGGUACAAAGGGUUGCCAAGCCGCGAGGUGGAGCUAAUCCCAUAAAACCGUUCGUAGUUCGGAUCGCAGUCUGCAACUCGCCUGCGUGAAGUCGGAAUCGCUAGUAAUCGUGAAUCAGAACGUCACGGUGAAUACGUUCCCGGGCCUUGUACACACCGCCCGUCACACCAUGAGAGUGGGUACUCCAGAAGUAGCUAGUGCUAACCUUCGUGGAGGUACCGCACCUUAGAGGGAGGCUGAGGG
This 900-nucleotide ribosomal RNA is filed under the name Pseudomonas oryzihabitans. Its description in RNAcentral is "bacterial SSU rRNA". It matches the Rfam family "Bacterial small subunit ribosomal RNA", at positions 605 to 1480 of the family's 1533-position model. The record is from RNAcentral. Lineage: Bacteria; Pseudomonadati; Pseudomonadota; Gammaproteobacteria; Pseudomonadales; Pseudomonadaceae.